This 74-nucleotide transfer RNA is filed under the name Candidatus Nitrosopumilus sp. Its description in RNAcentral is "Nitrosopumilus sp. tRNA-Thr". It matches the Rfam family "tRNA". From Rfam's summary of the family: Transfer RNA (tRNA) molecules are approximately 80 nucleotides in length. The record is from RNAcentral. Lineage: Archaea; Thermoproteati; Nitrososphaerota; Nitrososphaeria; Nitrosopumilales; Nitrosopumilaceae.
GCCUUGGUAGCUCAGCCUGGUAGAGCGAACGCCUCGUAAGCGUUAGGUCGAGAGAUCGAGUCUCUCCCAAGGCU